Molecule: ribosomal RNA, 1090 nt
Filed under: Glutamicibacter arilaitensis
Lineage: Bacteria; Bacillati; Actinomycetota; Actinomycetes; Micrococcales; Micrococcaceae
Description: bacterial SSU rRNA
Rfam family: Bacterial small subunit ribosomal RNA
Source: RNAcentral
GGGGGAUGGACUCGCGGCCUAUCAGCUUGUUGGUGAGGUAAUGGCUCACCAAGGCGACGACGGGUAGCCGGCCUGAGAGGGUGACCGGCCACACUGGGACUGAGACACGGCCCAGACUCCUACGGGAGGCAGCAGUGGGGAAUAUUGCACAAUGGGCGAAAGCCUGAUGCAGCGACGCCGCGUGAGGGAUGACGGCCUUCGGGUUGUAAACCUCUUUCAGUAGGGAAGAAGCGAAAGUGACGGUACCUGCAGAAGAAGCGCCGGCUAACUACGUGCCAGCAGCCGCGGUAAUACGUAGGGCGCAAGCGUUAUCCGGAUUUAUUGGGCGUAAAGAGCUCGUAGGCGGUUUGUCGCGUCUGCCGUGAAAGUCCGAGGCUCAACCUCGGAUCUGCGGUGGGUACGGGCAGACUAGAGUGAUGUAGGGGAGACUGGAAUUCCUGGUGUAGCGGUGAAAUGCGCAGAUAUCAGGAGGAACACCGAUGGCGAAGGCAGGUCUCUGGGCAUUUACUGACGCUGAGGAGCGAAAGCAUGGGGAGCGAACAGGAUUAGAUACCCUGGUAGUCCAUGCCGUAAACGUUGGGCACUAGGUGUGGGGGACAUUCCACGUUUUCCGCGCCGUAGCUAACGCAUUAAGUGCCCCGCCUGGGGAGUACGGCCGCAAGGCUAAAACUCAAAGGAAUUGACGGGGGCCCGCACAAGCGGCGGAGCAUGCGGAUUAAUUCGAUGCAACGCGAAGAACCUUACCAAGGCUUGACAUGUGCCAGACCGCUUCAGAGAUGGAGUUUCCCUUCGGGGCUGGUUCACAGGUGGUGCAUGGUUGUCGUCAGCUCGUGUCGUGAGAUGUUGGGUUAAGUCCCGCAACGAGCGCAACCCUCGUUCAUGUUGCAGCACGUAGUGGUGGGGACUCAUGGGAGACUGCCGGGUCACUCGGAGGAAGGUGGGGAUGACGUCAAUCAUCAUGCCCCUUAUGUCUGGGCUUCACGCAUGCUACAUGGCCGGUACAAUGGGUUGCGAUACUGUGAGGUGGAGCUAAUCCCUAAAAGCCGGUCUCAGUUCCGAUUGGGGUCUGCACUCGACCCCUGAAGUCGGA